This 1338-nucleotide long non-coding RNA is filed under the name Bemisia tabaci. Its description in RNAcentral is "lncRNA ENSSSA1NGG004289". The record is from RNAcentral. Lineage: Eukaryota; Metazoa; Arthropoda; Insecta; Hemiptera; Aleyrodidae.
GGUCAUAUAAGCUGGGGAACCGAACGAUACCGGAGUUAUGAGCGAUUGAAGUUUCCGCUCAACGCGCUCCGACCGAUUUUCGCGCGCCGCUCGCCGCCUCGAGUCCCGUACACCUGCUCCCUCACUUUCCGGCGUGCGGCCAUUGUCGCGGCUGUUCAUUAGCGACUUCGAGAAUGUACCUACAGAGUAUUUGGCGUGUCCCCGCCUCUCCCGCACAUGCAAACAUGCACCCUCCCUCAUAUUCAAACAAGAAAAAAGGAAGGGAAAAAUUGAUUUCUCUUUGAAUCUCUUCACAUUUGCGUGGGUUGAAUAGGUGCUACAGCAAACACUGGUAUGUUAUCAAGUGCAUAGCUCUCGGCUAGUUGAAGCCAUUAUUUUGUGACUUAUAUUCUCAACUACCCAGGACACACACACGGGGAGGUGGCUACGCGUCGAGUCCCGCCCGUGCCUCCCCAUCCGCCCAACCAUUGAGGCACGCUUACUCUUGAGGAGAAAUCAUUGAACGGAGCAAAACUGGAAUCCUAAAGAAGGAAAAAAAGGUAGAAAGAAGAUUAAAAAAUUUAAUUUGGGCACAGGGGAGAGGGGGGAGUAAAAGUGUGGGAUGAGCAUGCGCUUUCAUCUCAGAAGAGGAAUGUCCUCAACUCGAUGCUUGCAAGGGCCACGCUUUAGUGCGCCUUCGCAACCAACGAGCUGGGGGUUUUCAAGGUAUUAGCAGUAUUCUUACUUUACUAUGCAUACACGUACUUGUUUUUUCCUUGCUUCAUACUCUCCUUUUCUUAAUGUUGUAUUUGUUGUAUUUUAAACUGUCAUUUACCUCUCUUUCUCUCUCUCCCCCCUCCCUCUCUUUCUUUAUGUACUUUCACGAUGAAAGGGAGGCAUCCCCAGCUCGUUGGUUGCGAAGGCGCACUAAAGCGUGGCCCUUGCAAGCAUCGAGUUGAGGACAUUCCUCUUCUGAGAUGAAAGCGCAUGCUCAUCCCACACUUUUACUCCCCCCUCUCCCCUGUGCCCAAAUUAAAUUUUUUUAAUCUUCUUUCUACCUUUUUUUUCCUUCUUUAGGAUUCCAGUUUUGCUCCGUUCAAUGAUUUCUCCUCAAGAGUAAGCGUGCCUCAAUGGUUGGGCGGAUGGGGAGGCACGGGCGGGACUCGACGCGUAGCCACCUCCCCGUGGUGUGUCCUGGGUAGUUGAGAAUAUAAGUCACAAAAUAAUGGCUUCAACUAGCCGAGAGCUAUGCACUUGAUAACAUACCAGUGUUUGCUGUAGCACCUAUUCAACCCACGCAAAUGUGAAGAGAUUCAAAGAGAAAUCAAUUUUUCCCUUCCUUUUUUCUUGUUUGAAUAU